GCUCAGAUUGAACGCUGGCGGCAGGCCUAACACAUGCAAGUCGAGCGGAAACGACACUAACAAUCCUUCGGGUGCGUUAAUGGGCGUCGAGCGGCGGACGGGUGAGUAAUGCCUAGGAAAUUGCCUUGAUGUGGGGGAUAACCAUUGGAAACGAUGGCUAAUACCGCAUAAUGCCUACGGGCCAAAGAGGGGGACCUUCGGGCCUCUCGCGUCAAGAUAUGCCUAGGUGGGAUUAGCUAGUUGGUGAGGUAAUGGCUCACCAAGGCGACGAUCCCUAGCUGGUCUGAGAGGAUGAUCAGCCACACUGGAACUGAGACACGGUCCAGACUCCUACGGGAGGCAGCAGUGGGGAAUAUUGCACAAUGGGCGAAAGCCUGAUGCAGCCAUGCCGCGUGUAUGAAGAAGGCCUUCGGGUUGUAAAGUACUUUCAGUUGUGAGGAAGGGGGUAGUGUUAAUAGCGCUAUCUCUUGACGUUAGCAACAGAAGAAGCACCGGCUAACUCCGUGCCAGCAGCCGCGGUAAUACGGAGGGUGCGAGCGUUAAUCGGAAUUACUGGGCGUAAAGCGCAUGCAGGUGGUUCAUUAAGUCAGAUGUGAAAGCCCGGGGCUCAACCUCGGAACUGCAUUUGAAACUGGUGAACUAGAGUACUGUAGAGGGGGGUAGAAUUUCAGGUGUAGCG
RNAcentral lists this ribosomal RNA (679 nucleotides) under Vibrio sp. HM12-93. RNAcentral describes it as "bacterial SSU rRNA". It matches the Rfam family "Bacterial small subunit ribosomal RNA", at positions 22 to 680 of the family's 1533-position model. Lineage: Bacteria; Pseudomonadati; Pseudomonadota; Gammaproteobacteria; Vibrionales; Vibrionaceae. The record is from RNAcentral.